GACAGAGGAUGCAAGCGUUAUCCGGAAUGAUUGGGCGUAAAGCGUCUGUAGGUGGCUUUUCAAGUCCGCCGUCAAAUCCCAGGGCUCAACCCUGGACAGGCGGUGGAAACUACCAAGCUGGAGUACGGUAGGGGCAGAGGGAAUUUCCGGUGGAGCGGUGAAAUGCAUUGAGAUCGGAAAGAACACCAACGGCGAAAGCACGCUGCUGGGCAGUCACUGACACUGAGAGACGAAAGCUAGGGGAGCGAAUGGG
This 253-nucleotide ribosomal RNA is filed under the name uncultured bacterium. RNAcentral's name for it is "partial 16S ribosomal RNA". It matches the Rfam family "Bacterial small subunit ribosomal RNA", at positions 524 to 776 of the family's 1533-position model. The record is from RNAcentral.